This is a long non-coding RNA of Humulus lupulus (European hop), 1076 nucleotides long. RefSeq lists it as uncharacterized. The record is from RefSeq and is a predicted model, not a curated record. The transcript has 4 exons. NCBI's taxonomy places the organism in Eukaryota, Viridiplantae, Streptophyta, Magnoliopsida, Rosales, Cannabaceae.
GGGUUUCUCAAUAUAUGCAAUCCGACACAACCAUCUCUCAUUCUCACUCUCAGCAAGCAACACACCCAGUCGAAGGUAGCUGCUCGUCCCAGUCGGAGGUCCGUGUUAGAGACACUCUUCUCUUCUUCCUCCUGCUUUUCUAAUCUGUUGCAGAGGAUAAUGGUUCGUUUAACUGUCAGUGAGAGACAAAUUUUGAGAAAGAAGAAGAUCAUGGCUCUUUAUUUGCAUUGGAUGAAUGUGUUGCAUGUAGUGCAGUGGUUUUUCAAAUUAUGGGAAAAAAUUAUUGUACAUGGUAUUGAAUCAAGCUCUUUGGGAAGACAAUUAUACAUACUUGAUGUUUUUGUCAAUAGGCAAAUUGCGCAUCAAAUAGCUUAUGAGAGUGAUGUCAUUUGUUUUGAUCAACUUAGGAUGAAUAGGAAAGCAUUUAGCAAUUUAUGCAUAAUGCUUGAAACUAGGGGUGGGUUAAAAGCAUCUAAAUACUUGCAAGUAGAUGAGCAAGUGGCCAUGUUUUUACAUGUAAUUGCUCAUCAUGUGAAAAAUAGAGUCAUUAGAUUUCGAUUUAUGAGAUCUGGUGAGACUAUUAGCAAGUUUUUUUCACAAUGUGUUACAUUCAAUCAUUCGACUACAUGGAGCGUUAUUGAAAAUACCUGAACCGGUUGUUGAAAACUCAACAGAUGAAAGGUGGAAAUGGUUCAAGAAUUGCUUAGGGGCACUAGAUGGAACUCAUAUUAGAGUGAGAGUACCUAUGGCUGAUAAACCAAAAUAUCGUACUCGAAAAGGUGAAAUAGCUACAAAUGUCUUAGGUGUAUGCUCCCAAGACAUGCAAUUCAUAUAUGUGUUACCUAGAUGGGAAGGCUCUGCAGCAGAUGGUAGAGUUUUAUGAGAUGCCAUACGUAGAACAAAUGGUUUGUGUGUUCCAAAUGGUCAUUAUUACCUUGUAGAUGGUGGAUAUACUAAUUGUAAGGGAUUUCUUGCUCCAUAUCGAGGCCAACGCUAUCACCUCAACCAAUGGGAAGAUGGGAAUCCUCCCAGAAAUCCACAAGAGUUUUUUAAUAUGGAGCACUCAUCUGCUAGGA